AAUACAAAUUGAUGAGCUCUUCCUGGGGUACGAUUGAUUUACUACAUGGUGGCAGUGACUAAUCUUGCUGGCUAUUGUCCCGCUUAGUGCUUUUGUCUCUUACCAUUUCUUUUUUUUUUCCCCCCUUUUUUUUAUUUUUUAAAUUUAUUUAUUUAUUUAUUCGACAGAGAGAGACAGCGAGAGAGGGAACACCAGCAGGGGGAGUGGGAGAGGGAGAAGCAGGCUUCCCGUGGAGCAGGGAGCCCGAUGUAGGGCUCGAUCCCAGAACCCUGGGAUCAUGACCUGAGCCGAAGGCAGACGCUCAACGACUGAGCCACCCAGGAAUCCUGGUCUUGAUGUUAGAGAAGAAGAAAAACCCCUAGGGGCCUCAGACCUCAAUAGAAGGCAAGAUGUUUACAACUGGCUGUGAGCGAAAGGACUCACUUCUGGGUGAGAAAAGACAAUCUGAACAAGCAGUCAUUCUGCAAGCCCUUCUCUAGGUUUUGCAAAUUCUUAUCAGGAUGCGGUGAAGCCCCAGAUAAUGCCUUCACCUUCCUCCUAAUUGGGGAAGCUAGUUAAAUUUAUACUCUGAUUAUUGGCUCAGGAGAAGUGGGAUAAAAUAACCUGGUCUGUUGAAAAGUCGAAAUGUUCUUUUCAACAACUGGGCCCCCACCUCCCCUCUACAAGGAAGAGCCUGUGUCCCCCGAUCUGCCUGGGCUGGCCCUGGACAGGGGGACCCCUGCUCAGAAGGGGGUUAGGAAAUGCCAGUCUCACCAGCAAAGGGGUAAGUGAGGGCCGGUGGCAUCCCCCCCAGUCCGGUUCACUCUGAGCCGUGGGGUACACGUGACGGGAGGGGAUACAUCUGGGCUGCUAAAAGGUCACCUGAGGCCCAUGUUGAGGGCGUUUGGGCACAUCUGGACUUAGCGGGAGUCAGGUGGUGAUGUCUGCAGCACCAUGGGAUGUGGCCUUGGAAGUCUUGCCACUUACUGAGUGCUCACAGAAUAGGAGUUCUUGGGGAAAGGCCCCAAGGCCCCUGGGACAUUGGGAUUGGCUUGCUCUGACUUGUCUCUGACCCGGACCCUUCCCCGGUGACUAGAAAUCAGCGCUCCUGCUGUAACACAAUUCACUUCUGCUCCCUAGGGCCCGGCGGGGAGCUGCGGUUCAGUAAGAGAAGCAAGGCCCUCUGAGUCGGGUAGAACCUGGAGGUGAGAGCUGGGAAGAUAAGCCCGGAGGGGAAGGCAUGGCCACAUCCGUGGAUAGGCCACGGUAGCACGUUGUCAUUCAGCGUGGCUGAUGGAAGCCCAGCGAUGGUCCUCUGGGUGAUGCACUCUAUUUAGCCAUCAGUUUGCAGACGGUGCUGGUGGAACAUAAUCAUAGAAAUUAUAACAGUGGUCACUAACUGAGCCCCGCCUGUAUACCAGGCACUGUGCAUGACCUACGCCCUCCAGGCUCGGGCUUUAAAUGACGGGCACUGGUCAGAACCAGAACUCUGUGCCUCACCUCAAACUCCAUCCCCCUCCUUCUAUCCAGCCACCAGA
This is a long non-coding RNA of Mirounga angustirostris (Northern elephant seal), 1517 nucleotides long. RefSeq lists it as uncharacterized. The record is from RefSeq and is a predicted model, not a curated record. The transcript is spliced from 2 exons. NCBI's taxonomy places the organism in Eukaryota, Metazoa, Chordata, Mammalia, Carnivora, Phocidae.